GCCUGUGUGGUGUAAUGAUUAAGCGUUCUGCUGCUAACAGAAAGUGUGAUGGUUUGAACCCACUCAGUGGCU
RNAcentral lists this transfer RNA (72 nucleotides) under Loxodonta africana (African savanna elephant). It matches the Rfam family "tRNA". From Rfam's summary of the family: Transfer RNA (tRNA) molecules are approximately 80 nucleotides in length. Their secondary structure includes four short double-helical elements and three loops (D, anti-codon, and T loops). Further hydrogen bonds mediate the characteristic L-shaped molecular structure. tRNAs have two regions of fundamental functional importance: the anti-codon, which is responsible for specific mRNA codon recognition, and the 3' end, to which the tRNAs corresponding amino acid is attached (by aminoacyl-tRNA synthetases). tRNAs cope with the degeneracy of the genetic code in two manners: having more than one tRNA (with a specific anti-codon) for a particular amino acid; and 'wobble' base-pairing, i.e. permitting non-standard base-pairing at the 3rd anti-codon position. The record is from Rfam by way of RNAcentral. Lineage: Eukaryota; Metazoa; Chordata; Mammalia; Proboscidea; Elephantidae.